GCUGGGCGUGGUGGCGGGUGCCUGUAAUCCCAGCUACUCGGGAGGCUGAGGCAGGAGAAUCACUUGAACCUGGGAGGCAGAGGUUGCAGUGAGCCAAGAUCACGCCACUGCACUCCAGCCUGGGUGACAGAGUAAGACCCUGUCUCAA
This is an unclassified non-coding RNA of Macaca fascicularis (crab-eating macaque), 148 nucleotides long. It matches the Rfam family "Metazoan signal recognition particle RNA". From Rfam's summary of the family: The signal recognition particle (SRP) is a universally conserved ribonucleoprotein. Lineage: Eukaryota; Metazoa; Chordata; Mammalia; Primates; Cercopithecidae. The record is from Ensembl.